RNAcentral lists this ribosomal RNA (675 nucleotides) under uncultured cyanobacterium. RNAcentral's name for it is "bacterial SSU rRNA". It matches the Rfam family "Bacterial small subunit ribosomal RNA", at positions 344 to 1032 of the family's 1533-position model. Lineage: Bacteria; Bacillati; Cyanobacteriota. The record is from RNAcentral.
GAAUUCGCCCUUGGGGAAUUUUCCGCAAUGGGCGAAAGCCUGACGGAGCAAGGCCGCGUGGGGGAGGAAGGUUCUUGGAUUGUCAACCCCUUUUCUCAGGGAAGAACACAAUGACGGUACCUGAGGAAAAAGCAUCGGCUAACUCCGUGCCAGCAGCCGCGGUAAUACGGGGGAUGCAAGCGUUAUCCGGAAUGAUUGGGCGUAAAGAGUCCGUAGGUAGUCAUCCAAGUCUGCUGUUAAAGAGCGAGGCUUAACCUCGUAAAGGCAGUGGAAACUGGAAGACUAGAGUGUAGUAGGGGCAGAGGGAAUUCCUGGUGUAGCGAUGAAAUGCGUAGAGAUCAGGAAGAACACCGGUGGCGAAGGCGCUCUGCUGGGCUAUAACUGACACUGAGGGACGAAAGCUAGGGGAGCGAAUGGGAUUAGAUACCCCAGUAGUCCUAGCGGUAAACGAUGGAAACUAGGUGUGGCCUGUAUCGACCCGGGCCGUGCCGAAGCAAACGCGUUAAGUUUCCCGCCUGGGGAGUACGCACGCAAGUGUGAAACCCAAAGGAAUUGACGGGGGCCCGCACAAGCGGUGGAGUAUGUGGUUUAAUUCGAUGCAACGCGAAGAACCUUACCAGGACUUGACAUCUCUGGAAUCUCCUUGAAAGGGGAGAGUGCCGUAAGGAACCAGAA